RNAcentral lists this ribosomal RNA (495 nucleotides) under uncultured bacterium. RNAcentral's name for it is "bacterial SSU rRNA". It matches the Rfam family "Bacterial small subunit ribosomal RNA", at positions 1 to 518 of the family's 1533-position model. The record is from RNAcentral.
GUGCCUUGGCAGUCGAGUUUGAUCUGGCUCAGGAUGAACGCUGGCGGCGUGCCUAACACAUGCAAGUCGAGCGAUUCUCUUCGGAGAAGAGCGGCGGACGGGUGAGUAACGCGUGGGUAACCUGCCUCAUACACAUGGAUAACAUACCGAAAGGUAUGCUAAUACAGGAUAAUAUAAGAGAUUCACAUGGAUUUCUUAUCAAAGCUCCGGCGGUAUGAGAUGGACCCGCGUCUGAUUAGCUAGUUGGUAAGGUAACGGCUUACCAAGGCGACGAUCAGUAGCCGACCUGAGAGGGUGAUCGGCCACAUUGGAACUGAGACACGGUCCAAACUCCUACGGGAGGCAGCAGUGGGGAAUAUUGCACAAUGGGCGAAAGCCUGAUGCAGCAACGCCGCGUGAGUGAUGAAGGCCUUCGGGUCGUAAAACUCUGUCCUCAAGGAAGAUAAUGACGGUACUUGAGGAGGAAGCCCCGGCUAACUACGUGCCAGCCGCCGC